UUCGAAGAGUUUGAUCCUGGCUCAGAACGAACGCUGGCGGCGUGGCUAAGACAUGCAAGUCGUACGAUCCGUUGUAGCAAUAUGACGGAUAGUGGCGGACAGGUGAGUAAUACAUGGGUAACGUACCCCGGACACAGGGAUAGCGUCGGGUUCCGACUUGUCGGAAUCCUUUGCGAAAGUGACGGUAAUACCUGAUGAGACCACGGAAGGGAUGCCUUCUGUGCUCAAAGGGUGGGGACCUUCGGGCCUGCCGGUUCGGGAUCGGCCCAUGCCCUAUCAGCUAGUUGGUGAGGUAACGGCCCACCAAGGCGACGACGGGUAACCGGUCUGAGAGGAUGGUCGGUCACAUCGGGACUGAGACACUGCCCGGACACCUACGGGUGGCUGCAGUAACGAAUCUUCCGCAAUGGGCGAAAGCCUGACGGAGCGACGCCGCGUGCAGGAGGAAGUCCUUCGGGAUGUAAACUGCUUUUAGGGGAACGAAAACGCAGCGACCUAACACGUCGUGAGUUGAUCUACCCCAGAAAAAGCCUCGGCUAACUCUGUGCCAGCAGCCGCGGUAAGACAGAGGAGGCUAGCGUUGUUCGGAAUCACUGGGCUUAAAGCGCGUGUAGGCGGCCUCGUAAGUGCCUUGUGAAAUCCCCCGGCUCACCCGGGGAACGGCUUGGCAUACUGCGGGGCUUGAGGCAGGUAGGGGUCACUGGAACUCUAGGUGGAGCGGUGAAAUGCGUAGAUAUCUAGAGGAACGCCCGGGGCGAAAGCGGGUGACUGGGCCUGUCCUGACGCUGAGACGCGAAAGCGUGGGGAGCAAACGGGAUUAGAUACCCCGGUAGUCCACGCCCUAAACGAUGCGCACUAGACUCGAGCAACUCUGACGUUGAUCGGGUCGAAGCAAAAGUGUUAAGUGCGCCGCCUGGGGAGUACGGCCGCAAGGCUAAAACUCAAAGGAAUUGACGGGGGCUCACACAAGCGGUGGAGCAUGUGGCUUAAUUCGAAGCAACGCGAAGCAGCUCGUGUCGUGAGAUGUCGGGUUAAGUCCCAUAACGAGCGAAACCCUUGUCGUUAGUUGCCAGCGGGUCAUGCCGGGCACUCUAACGAGACUGCCGGUGUUAAACCGGAGGAAGGCGAGGACGACGUCAAGUCAUCAUGGCCUUUAUGCCCGGGGUUGCACACGUGCUACAAUGGGACGGUACAGAGCGAUCCGAGACCGCGAGGUGGAGGAAAUCGUUGAAAACGUCCCUCAGUUCAGAUUGCAGGCUGCAACUCGCCUGCAUGAAGUUGGAAUCGCUAGUAAUCGCGUAUCAGCUAUGACGCGGUGAAUGUGUUCCUGAGCCUUGUACACACCGCCCGUCAAGUCAUGGAAGCUGGUAGUACCCGAAGUCCGCUCAGCCAACCGCAAGGAGGCGGCGGCCGACGGUAAGACCGGUGACUGGGACUAAGUCGUAACAAGGUAGCCGUAGGAGAACCUGCGGCUGGAUCACCUCCUUUC
Molecule: ribosomal RNA, 1489 nt
Filed under: Phycisphaerae bacterium
Lineage: Bacteria; Pseudomonadati; Planctomycetota; Phycisphaerae
Description: bacterial SSU rRNA
Rfam family: Bacterial small subunit ribosomal RNA
Source: RNAcentral